UGCUUGCAUAACUGUAAGUAGCUUUGGAUAAAAGCAUCUGUUAAAUGCCUUAUA
Non-coding RNA from Salmo salar (Atlantic salmon), 54 nucleotides. The record is from Rfam. Lineage: Eukaryota; Metazoa; Chordata; Actinopteri; Salmoniformes; Salmonidae.